AUGUGGAUCCUGAUCUCCUGUGCAGCGAAUUUUGGGUGGUCCUUACAUCAACUUGAUGUGAAGAAUGCUUUCUUGCAUGGGGACUUGAAGGAGGAGGUCUACAUGGAGAUCCCACCGGGGUUCUCUACGUCUGAGACGGUUGGCAAGGUAUGCAGGUUAAAGAAAUCUCUUUAUGGCCUGAAACAGUCUCUGAGAGCAUGGUUCGACAAGUUCAGACGUGAUGUAUGUAGUAUGGGGUAUGGGCAGUGUAACGGUGAUCAUACACUGUUCUACAGACAUAAAGAAGGAAAAAUCACUAUACUUGUAGUAUAUGUGGGUGAUAUUAUUAUCACAGGGGAUGAUAAAGAAGAAAUAACAAGACUGAAAGUCGCCAGGUCUGCCAAUAGGAGAAAUGACAACGUAUGGGUAAGGCCUUUGAAGUCAAAAUAUCUGGGCCAACUCAAAUACUUUCUGGGCAUAGAAGUGGCCAGGUCUGCCAAUAGGAUUGCGCUAUCUCAAAGGAAGUAUACUUUAGAUCCCCUAAGCGAUGUAGGAAUGCUAGGAUGUCGGGCAGCCCGAACCCCAAUUGAUCAAAACCACAAAGUGACUGCUCAAUCAGGAGAGCCAAUGGAUAAGGAGAGGUAUUAG
RNAcentral lists this ribosomal RNA (627 nucleotides) under Triticum aestivum (bread wheat). RNAcentral's name for it is "partial small subunit ribosomal RNA". The record is from RNAcentral. Lineage: Eukaryota; Viridiplantae; Streptophyta; Magnoliopsida; Poales; Poaceae.